RNAcentral lists this non-coding RNA (153 nucleotides) under Candidatus Omnitrophota bacterium. RNAcentral's name for it is "6S RNA". It matches the Rfam family "6S / SsrS RNA". Rfam says of the family: E. coli 6S RNA was the first non coding RNA to be sequenced, but its function was unknown until recently. Lineage: Bacteria; Pseudomonadati; Candidatus Omnitrophota. The record is from RNAcentral.
GAUUCCCUGCCCUGCGCGUCGGAUGCUUAAGGUAGUGAACCAACAGUAAGUUAAAGGGAGUUCAGAUUCAUUUCAUCUGCGGAUGAAUGAGAGGACACCCACCUAGUUUGAAGGGUUCAAUUCAAUAGGUCCGACGGCAAUGGCGGGGAUUUU